AUUGAACGCUGGCGGCAGGCCUAACACAUGCAAGUCGAGCGCGCGGCGGACGGGUGAGUAAAGUCUGGGAAACUGCCUGAGGGAGGGGGAUAACUACUGGAAACGGUAGCUAAUACCGCAUACCAUCAGAUGUGCCCAGAUGGGGUUAGCUCGUAGGUGGGGUAAAGGCUCACCCAGUCGACGAACCCUAGCUGUUCUGAAAGGAUGACCAGCCACACUGGAACUGAGACACGGUCCAGACUCCUACGGGAGGCAGCAGUGGGGAAUAUUGCACAAUGGGCGCAAGCCUGAUGCAGCCAUGCCGCGUGUGUGAAGAAGGCCUUCGGGUUGUAAAGCACUUUCAGCGGGGAGGCGUUACCCGCAGAAGAAGCACCGGCUAACUCCGUGCCAGCAGCCGCGGUAAUAC
Molecule: ribosomal RNA, 406 nt
Filed under: uncultured bacterium
Lineage: Bacteria
Description: partial 16S ribosomal RNA
Rfam family: Bacterial small subunit ribosomal RNA
Source: RNAcentral